Molecule: long non-coding RNA, 463 nt
Filed under: Heterocephalus glaber (naked mole-rat)
Lineage: Eukaryota; Metazoa; Chordata; Mammalia; Rodentia; Bathyergidae
Description: lncRNA (ENSHGLG00100051875.1)
Source: RNAcentral
GGCCCUUCAAUCUCCCUUACUGGCCUCUCUGCAAAAGGGGCAAAAGCAGUGGCCUUUUUGUGUAGCUCUGGUAGGAAUCUAGGUCCCUAAUUUGUUGGCAGAAAAAGAACUUGCAGCACUAGGGAGCAGCUGAUUCUGACUUCCUUACCCAUGAGGCCAACAACCUUGGCCGGUUCUGGCCUGGGUCAGCCAUUUUAGCCUACUGAUGUGAGGGCGGAGGGUGCUGUGUGGUUCACAGCAGGGGCAGCGAGCAGCGAGCGGGCACAGAUCAGAGACAGGUGUCAGUGAUACACAAAGCUGCUUCCUGUGAAGUGAGCUGGGAUGAAGCCAACAGACAAGCAGCCUCCUCCACCAUACAUACCUGUCAUGAUGUUCUGCCUCACCAUAGGCCCAAAGCCAGUGACCAGCCAACCAUGAACAGAGACCUCGGAAAUCCUGAGCCUAAAUAAACCUUUCCUCCCUG